Molecule: long non-coding RNA, 1351 nt
Filed under: Bos indicus x Bos taurus (hybrid cattle)
Lineage: Eukaryota; Metazoa; Chordata; Mammalia; Artiodactyla; Bovidae
Description: lncRNA (ENSBIXG00005028666.1)
Source: RNAcentral
AUGACGUGGAAUGAGCUGGAAUGCCUCUCCAGAUGCUCCAAGGUCGGCCUCCAGCCACCUACUCCAGAGCCACAGCCUCCUCCCAUCGCGAUGGGUCCCGGGCCCUUCCCGAUGGCUGCUGGGCAUGGAGAAAGUGGAGUGACCCCCGCUUCCCGCCGCCUGGAAAAUGCAGAGAACGGGGGUUCUGAAGUGGGUGUGGGAGAAGCAGGCUUCACUCUGGACAGGUCACACGCGGCAUGGCCUUGGCGCAGCUCAGUGGGAGCACUGGGCUGGCUCGGGCUGUUUGCACCUGGAGCUCAGGGACGUUCCAGACUGGACGAAAGUGGGGCUGCUCGACUGAGGGCUGUGUGAGGUGAGGCCGGCCGCUGAGAGGUGGCAGGGAUGGCGCAGGCUGGUGCCACUUCUCAGAGUCCACGUCGUUACUCUCCAGUGACUGCCUUGUGGCUGCUGCAACAAAGGGCUGCAAACGGGUGGCCUUAGGACAAGACAAAUGCAUUCACUUAUGGCUGCGGAGGCCAGAGGGUCACAGCAAGGUGCCGGCGGCCCGCGCUCCCUCAAGGGCUCCGGGGAGCAGCCUUCUCGCUUCCCCAGCGUCUCACACCCAGGGGUCCUUGGCUGGUGGCCGCAUCCACCCAUCUCUGCCUCAGUCCUCACAUCGCCUUCUCUGUUAUUUGAGUCUGCAAAUCUGCACCUCUCUUCUCUAAGCAUGCUUGUGACUGGACUGAGGCCCCAGCCUGAUGAUCUGGGAUAGUCGCUCCAUGUCAGGGUCCUUCAUCACGUCUCCAGAGAACUUCCUCCUCGUGAGGUCAAUCGCAGCUUCUCACAGUUUUCUCCACACACGGAGGCCUGGGGAGACAGUAUGGAGAACAGAGAGCUCGAGUUUGCAGUCAGAGCUGCACUUGGAACUGAGUGCCUGGGCUGAUGGACCUGGUCUGGGAGUGCUGGUCAUUUGCCCGAGGCCCGUCUCCGGGCUGCGGGGCCUCAGUUGACUCACCCACGCGGGUGAUGACCUUGCCCGUGUCCCUGUCCUCGGCUUGCUCAGAGCUUUAUGAGCACACAUGUCAGGUUCGUGGUCGGGAGCUCGACACACACAGGCCUGGACAGAUCUGAGCCCCGGGCACGCAAGGCCCCCCUUAGAGGUGCCCUGGCUCGUUUAGCCGUAUCUCAGGCCGGGGCUCUUCUGGGAGGGACCGGCAUGGAGAAGGAGAACCAUGGUGUCUAGGUGACCUCCAGCGCUGUGGCAGGGCUGCGCUGGGAGAGGGAGGAGGCGGAGAGCCAGGCCAGGCUGGGCCAGGAGGCUGCGGGGGGAAGAGGGCCCGCAGGCUCCAGCACUAAUGAGCCUUCGCUGCCC